Panicum virgatum (switchgrass) is the source of this 1536-nucleotide long non-coding RNA. RefSeq lists it as uncharacterized. The transcript is spliced from 2 exons. The record is from RefSeq and is a predicted model, not a curated record. NCBI's taxonomy places the organism in Eukaryota, Viridiplantae, Streptophyta, Magnoliopsida, Poales, Poaceae.
CAGCCGGCCAGAGUCCUUCGACCCGAUGUACCUAACGCGCGGAACUAACCCAUCAGCUUGCCUUCUGCUCUGCAGGAGCUUCCUUGAUGGUGUGUGGAUCUGUCGUUCCCUUCUCCGAUUGAGCCUGCGAGCGGUGAUGCGGCAAACUAAUCUGCAUGCAUCGAGUUCCCACUUGCGUGAUGAUGCAGCAGCCAAAACAAGGACCCUGAGUCACGGACACGACGCCGACACACCCCUCCCCACCCCCGAUUCUCCCCUGCGAUCAAUGAUAGCGCCAGCAGCUUUAGCAGCAUCCACAAGAGGAAUUCCAGGUACAGGGAGGAAUUUUUCCCACCUUCUUUGAUCUCGCCAAUGAUUAAUUUAAUAACCAUUUUCAUUUUCUCAUCUGCGUGCAUGCAGAUUGGAACUUCAGUGUUGAUGGAUCUGAUUUAUUUCCUCUUUUUGUUUAGGAGCCUAAUCUUUGGAUUUGAGUAUCAGGCAAUGGCAUUUCCGUCCGGCAACCAAAAUUAAGAAUAGGAUUGCGUGGAGCAAUUGGUUUAACUCUAGCCAAAAAUAAAAAAAGAAGAAAAAGAGAAAACGGCAUUUUUUUUAUUUAAUUGUCAAUGAAGUUCUUAAAUAUGUGUCCUAUUUAUCACAUUUAUUUGCCUGGCACAUCAAUUCCAAAACCUGGUUGAUUGAUCCCGUGCAUAAAUUGCUUAAACCAUACUAUCCUAACUGUGCUGUAGCCAUUUAUACUAACCCUCUUACUCAUGAAUAUGAUCUUUUUAAUCUUUUCACUAGGGUGGACACUGGGCAGAGGUUGGUGGAUAGGAUGCCUAUCAAUCCCAAGAUAGCCGUGUUUGAGAGCACACAGGAGAGGUUUGAGGUUCCUCUCCGACCUGAUAUGUGGUCCUCGCAUGGAGUUCAUAUUUCAUGAAUUUGGUGCCUUAUUCUCCUGCAUCUCUUGAAUAUAAAAUAUGAGAUUUGAUCUAAACUAUGUCAUCAUCCUGCAUUUCUAGAUGUUGGCUAAUAGUUAACUUGGCUACCAUGGAGAGUUACUAUCUAAGCUAAAUCAUCUCAUUUUUAUAAAAACAAAUUAGUUAUCUUCAAUUUGCACAUUAGCAAAGAAGAUGGUGUUCGGUGCAUGUGUCAUUGUAUAAGCUAGCAUUUUUUUAAUGGUUGCACUCACGCCAUUUUUCUAUAUUUCUUUUCUCUCUCUAUCCUGUGUUUGGAUAACAAUUUGAGUCUUUGACCCUUUUCAGUCUUAAGGAUGAGUAGCAAUAAUUUUGCUUGGAUGGUUAUGCAGGUCUGGUCGUCUGGAUGAAUCCUCCACUUGCAGCUGCAGGAACAAUCUUAAUUGAAGUUCUACAUGACCUCAGAUGCAACUACAAAAAUUUAUGUACAAAUGUACUGAUUGCAGAACUACCUAUUGGAAACUUUGUACCUGUAAAGCAAUGUAAUCAAGGUGUUGCCGUGAAAUCUGAAAUUUCAAGUACAAUGUUGGAUACUUGACCAUAAAAGUUAAUCAUCAUGUGUUGAAGAAACAUUACGAUAUAA